UCAGGCGGGCGCGGAGCGGCGCGGAGUGACAAAGCCGCCGCUGCCGCCGCCGGGGGUGGGAGCAGCGCUCGCCCGCCCGCCCCUCGAUUCGCGAGGGCGUAAAAGUUUGUCUCAGCUCGAGCAUUCCUAGUGCCAACAUGCCCUCAGGUAAAGGUGGAAGUAAAUGGCCACGCUGUAUUGACAGAGGUAGGGUUUGUUUUUUAAUACUCGUUCUCACUUUAAGUCUCACCAGGGAGGGGUUUGGGAAGCACUGCGUGUUUGGGGGACGUUUUGCGCUUCCCGGUCUCUCCAGCCUACAAGUCGGGAGUCGGCGACCGCUUAGUGAUGAGAGAUGAUUUUAAAGAGCAGAAUAAAAGGCUUUCCCGUGUCUGCCCCACAGCCCCUCCAGCUCGAAUAAUGGAGAACUGUCAAUGCACUCCGCGAGCGGUGGCCCAUUGUAGCAGCUGAUGGCGAGGAGGCGACUGGGGGUGGCAGGGGCUCCUUGCCCUCGCCCUUAUGCCCAAAUAAACGCGCAAACGCGCUUACAUCUUCUGGUCAGUUAAAAGGUGAAACGAACACGAUUAAAGUAGACCAAAAGCAAAGAAAGAAAAGAAAAUCUUUCUACGUACAGAUUCUAAAUCGUACUCCCCAUACAGUCAGAGGCAGGCAGUCGAGGGCAGAGGCAGCAGGCGGAGAGAGGGAGAUAGGGUGAGGGAAGGAGAACGCGGAGAGAGACGGAGGGAGUGGGAGACGAGCAACAGCGAGCGCCAGGGCACCGCAGGCACACUGGAUGCCAGGUCCGCCGGCCCAGCCGCGCUCGGACCCUGGACCGUGCGUCGUGGGCACCAGAAACGAGACUCGGCCAAAUCCUGCCUCACCAGGUAGAUGAAAGUCAAGAGAAAAGGUGUGGAUAAAUGAAACUAGCCCAUGAUAAGCCUGUUUUCUCCGUGACCACAAUAUGAAGCAGGAUGAUGGUGGUGAAACAGUCACAAAUGGAAUAUCAAGAAACAUGCUAUCACCAGGUAUUAUCUACUGCUGUCUGCAGAAUUCAGACAUGGAGGGCUCAAUGGUGUCCCCUGGUCUUUGGAACAUUCUGUAUUUUAAUGAUCAUGAAUGAAGCAUACUGCAGGAUUCUGUUUAUUACAAGACUAUUUGCAAAAGACCUAUGCACCAUUCAUUGCACCUUGAAAAACACUUGAAAAUAUGGGUUGCAUUUGCAAACUUCAAUGUAUGACAUGGAAAUCUGGCAAGCUGCCUGGCAUCUACUUAAAGGAUUGUCAUUCUGGGAAAAAUAAAUUUCUCUAACUAGACA
Molecule: long non-coding RNA, 1291 nt
Filed under: Theropithecus gelada (gelada)
Lineage: Eukaryota; Metazoa; Chordata; Mammalia; Primates; Cercopithecidae
Description: lncRNA (ENSTGEG00000003210.1)
Source: RNAcentral